AUUGAACGCUGGCGGCAGGCCUAACACAUGCAAGUCGAGCGGAUGAAGGGAGCUUGCUCCUGGAUUCAGCGGCGGACGGGUGAGUAAUGCCUAGGAAUCUGCCUGGUAGUGGGGGAUAACGUCCGGAAACGGGCGCUAAUACCGCAUACGUCCUGAGGGAGAAAGUGGGGGAUCUUCGGACCUCACGCUAUCAGAUGAGCCUAGGUCGGAUUAGCUAGUUGGUGGGGUAAAGGCCUACCAAGGCGACGAUCCGUAACUGGUCUGAUAGGAUGAUCAGUCAAACUGGAACUGAGACACGGUCCAGACUCCUACGGGAGGAAGCAGUGGGGAAUAUUGGACAAUGGGCGAAAGCCUGACCCAGCCAUGCCGCGUGUGUGAAGAAGGUCUUCGGAUUGUAAAGCACUUUAAGUUGGGAGGAAGGGCAGUAAGUUAAUACCUUGCUGUUUUGACGUUACCAACAGAGUAAGCACCGGCUAACUUCGUG
This 484-nucleotide ribosomal RNA is filed under the name uncultured bacterium. Its description in RNAcentral is "partial 16S ribosomal RNA". It matches the Rfam family "Bacterial small subunit ribosomal RNA", at positions 30 to 507 of the family's 1533-position model. The record is from RNAcentral.